RNAcentral lists this long non-coding RNA (383 nucleotides) under Elaeis guineensis (African oil palm). Its description in RNAcentral is "long non-coding RNA (EGUI_LNC063688)". The record is from RNAcentral. Lineage: Eukaryota; Viridiplantae; Streptophyta; Magnoliopsida; Arecales; Arecaceae.
AUUCUCCCAUCCACUGGCAAGACGCCGCAGCAUCUGCAUCCCACUUCCCACAGCAGAUUCCACGUGGCACGCCCCAGUGAUGGCCACGGCUCCGCUCCACUACUCUUCGCAGUAGAUUCCUCCUGACUAAGGGCGGCCCACUACCUGGCGGUUACAAACGUCGCCAUCAAUCCGUUACCUCCCCCGCCUAUAAAAGGGGGACCCAGAUACGUUAUUCUCUAAGCUCAUUUCUUAUCUCAAAACUCUGCUAAAUUCUCCGUUCGAGCACUCCAUUCUUGUUGAGGCAGAGAACUGACUUGAGCAUCGGAGGGUCUUGCCGGAGCAACCCCACCUCCGGUUUAGACUUUCUUUGCAGGUCCCGGCGGCGACUGCGGCUUCCCCGA